Molecule: ribosomal RNA, 497 nt
Filed under: uncultured bacterium
Lineage: Bacteria
Description: partial 16S ribosomal RNA
Rfam family: Bacterial small subunit ribosomal RNA
Source: RNAcentral
GAUGAACGCUGGCGGCGUGCCUAAUACAUGCAAGUCGAGCGAACGGACGAGAAGCUUGCUUUUCUGAUGUUAGCGGCGGACGGGUGAGUAACACGUGGAUAACCUACCUAUAAGACUGGGAUAACUUCGGGAAACCGGAGCUAAUACCGGAUAAUAUUUUGAACCGCAUGGUUCAAAAGUGAAAGACGGUCUUGCUGUCACUUAUAGAUGGAUCCGCGCUGCAUGAGCUAGUUGGUAAGGUAACGGCUUACCAAGGCAACGAUGCAUAGCCGACCUGAGAGGGUGAUCGGCCACACUGGAACUGAGACACGGUCCAGACUCCUACGGGAGGCAGCAGUAGGGAAUCUUCCGCAAUGGGCGAAAGCCUGACGGAGCAACGCCGCGUGAGUGAUGAAGGUCUUCGGAUCGUAAAACUCUGUUAUUAGGGAAGAACAUAUGUGUAAGUAACUGUGCACAUCUUGACGGUACCUAAUCAGAAAGCCACGGCUAACUACGUG